This 96-nucleotide microRNA precursor is filed under the name Pelobates cultripes (western spadefoot toad). The record is from RNAcentral. Lineage: Eukaryota; Metazoa; Chordata; Amphibia; Anura; Pelobatidae.
AAUAGCAGGAUAUUCUAAUUUUUCAGGUAUCACCUGUGUGUAUAUAUAUAUAUAUAUAUACACACAGGUGAUACUCGAAAAAUUAGAAUAUCCUGC